This is a long non-coding RNA of Sinocyclocheilus anshuiensis, 264 nucleotides long. RefSeq lists it as uncharacterized. The record is from RefSeq and is a predicted model, not a curated record. Lineage: Eukaryota; Metazoa; Chordata; Actinopteri; Cypriniformes; Cyprinidae. The transcript has 2 exons.
AAAUAAAUACCACAGCUUGUAACGCCGACGUUUCGGAGCUAACGCGACACUUGAAGCCCAGAGGUGGUUUUAAGUGACAAAGUGUAACUGAGAAAGAGAGAGGUGCAGUUUCAUAAGCUGGCGUGCAGCAGCAGUGAAGUUUCGUUCCCCGGGGAAUGCCGCACAGCGGAAAACAACCGUAAACAACCCGUUACUAUGCGCUCGACUGCAGUUUGUCCUAAGACAGUAAUAAAAGCAGUCCGGUAAAAAAAGAAAGACCGGAGA